UGGAUUGGGGGGGUUCUACGGAACCCGUUUGGUGAAUCUAGUGCCGAGAAAAGCCUUCUAUGUUUGAAUUUCUAGUACCCGUACCCCAAACCGACACAGGUGGGUGGGUAGAGCAUACCUAGGGGCGCGUGAUAACUCUCUCUAAGGAACUCGGCAAAAUGGCCCUGUAACUUCGGGAUAAGGGGUGCCUGCGUGAGCAGGCCGCAGUGAAAUGGCUCUGGCGACUGUUUACCAAAAACACAGGUCUCUGCUAAGUCGUAAGACGAUGUAUAGGGGCUGACUCCUGCCCAGUGCCGGAAGGUUAAGGAAGUUGGUUAGCGCAAGCGAAGCUGGCGACCGAAGCCCCGGUGAACGGCGGCCGUAACGAUAACGGUCCUAAGGUAGCGAAAUUCCUUGUCGGGUAAGUUCCGACCCGCACGAAAGGAGUAACGAUCAGAGCGCUGUCUCGGAGAGAGACACGGCGAAAUAGGAUUGUCCGUGAAGAUACGGACUACCUGCACCCGGACAGAAAGACCCUAUGAAGCUUUACUGUAACUUGGAAUUGUGUUCAGACUUUGUCUGCGCAGAAUAGGUGGGAGGCUAUGAAACGUUCCUCGCGGGGAACUGGAGCCAUCGUUGAGAUACCACUCUGGCAGAGUCUGGAUUCUAACCUACGGGGACAGUUCCAGGUGGGCAGUUUGACUGGGGCGGUCGCCUCCUAAAAUGUAACGGAGGCGCGCAAAGGUUCCCUCAGGCUGGUUGGAAAUCAGCCAUAGAGUGUAAAAGCAUAAGGGAGCUUGACUGUGAGACCUACAAGUCGAGCAGGGACGAAAGUCGGCUUUAGUGAUCCGACGGCACUGAGUGGAAGGGCCGUCGCUCAACGGAUAAAAGUUACUCUAGGAUAACAGGCUGAUCUCCCCCAAGAGUUCACAUCGACGGGGAGGUUUGGCACCUCGAUGUCGGCUCGUCGCAACCUGGGGCGGUAGUACGUCCCAAGGGUUGGGCUGUUCGCCCAUUAAAGCGGCACGUGAGCUGGGUUCAGAACGUCGUGAGACAGUUCGGUCCAUAUCCGGUGUAGGCGUAGGAGCAUUGAAAGGAUCUCUCCUUAGUACGAGAGGACCGGGAGGGACGUACCUCUGGUGUACCUGUUAUCGUGCCAACGGUAAACGCAGGGUAGCCAUGUACGGAGUGGAUAACCGCUGAAAGCAUCUAAGUGGGAAGCCCACCUUAAGAUGAGUGCUCCCUUGAGGCCACGGGAAGACGACCCGUUUGAUAGGCGCUAGGUGGAAGUGCAGUAAUGCAUGCAGCCGAGGCGUACUAAUAGGCCGAUGGCUUGUC
RNAcentral lists this ribosomal RNA (1317 nucleotides) under metagenome. RNAcentral's name for it is "bacterial LSU rRNA". It matches the Rfam family "Bacterial large subunit ribosomal RNA", at positions 1562 to 2925 of the family's 2925-position model. The record is from RNAcentral.